GGUUCCGUGGUGCAGUUGGUUAGCGCAUCGUACUAAUAUUUCAAAAGAAUAUAUGCGAAAGUCGAGGGUUCGAGCCCCUCCGGGACCA
RNAcentral lists this transfer RNA (88 nucleotides) under Ophiostoma piceae UAMH 11346. It matches the Rfam family "tRNA". From Rfam's summary of the family: Transfer RNA (tRNA) molecules are approximately 80 nucleotides in length. Their secondary structure includes four short double-helical elements and three loops (D, anti-codon, and T loops). The record is from Rfam by way of RNAcentral. Lineage: Eukaryota; Fungi; Ascomycota; Sordariomycetes; Ophiostomatales; Ophiostomataceae.